Long non-coding RNA from Oncorhynchus nerka (sockeye salmon), 2725 nucleotides. RefSeq lists it as uncharacterized. NCBI's taxonomy places the organism in Eukaryota, Metazoa, Chordata, Actinopteri, Salmoniformes, Salmonidae. The record is from RefSeq and is a predicted model, not a curated record. The transcript has 5 exons.
CAGGUUCUCUCUGUGAACCACAGAACAAGUUACCCUCUACAGCCUUAUUGAAGUCAGCACCUCCACAAGUAACAACCUGAUUGUGAAUGUUCCUUCUAACAGGUUUCUGGCCUUCAUGGAUUUCUCCAUACCAGAGAUACUGAGGGUUCACUGGAGGAUCUGUGACUUCAUAUCGUGCAGUGUGAGUACGGCUCCCCAUAAGAGUUCCUGUGCAGAGCCCUGGAUGCGCCCCAGCCCCAGACAGUGAGUAACGCUGUGUGCCUGUUCCAGGGGAUUGGGGCGUGCAUGCCGGAGGGUCAUGCCCUCAGCCCUCUGGGUUGCCACUCUGCCCAUAAAUGGUGAAUAUAGAGGCAGCCAUCUCGGAGAAGUCUCCCUUUGCCACACCCAUGAACCAGAAGGAUCAGGCCAACCUGGCUAAGGCACGUUAAAACGUUCAUAGAUUACCAGCAGGGUCAAAUAAUAGCCGUGGUGGCUAUAGAGUACAGUUCAACACCUCAGGAGUUAAUGUCAAUUGGCUUUUAUAUAGGCAGGCAUUCAAAGUGUCUCUCCGUGCAGCAGCCGGUAGGGAGGGGGGUCGAACAGCAUGUCUACUCUACUCUAUUCUCUCUCACACAAACUUGUGCAUGUUUUUCUCAUCUUGUGUCUUACAUCAUCAUGUGUCUUGUAACACUGAGCAUGUUUUGUAACUGAUACGGUAUACAGUGUAAGUAGUGAUCUGACCUUUAGAGUGGCUAGUGAGAACAUUUACCAGAGAUGGCGUCUAGUCUUGGUUCGGAUCUUGGUGGCUCCAGUCUUGACUCCAUCUCUGACAUUUACCUGGAUCUGCUCCCCGUCAGUACAUCAAACAGGAGCUGAUAAGGAUGAUGGACCAGGUCGCAUUCUCUUCUUCCUCCAAGUCCGGUCGAGGACCAGCUUCCCGGGACCGGUCUGGCCCGACGGGAGCCCCAGGCUCCCCUCACCCCUUUGGGUAAGGCUCAGAUCUGUGUACUGAAUGCAGUGGUGACGGGUGGUGACGGGAGGGCUGUGUGACAGUGUGGGGCGGAUCCUCUACACGCCCUCUGUGGAUACGCUGGACCCGGGUGGCCUAUUCUGUGGAAACCUCCGAGGGGAAGGCCCACGUCCACCCCUCCUCCUUCAACCGCUGCCUGCUCUUCCAGGAGAAGGCCGCAGUGAGGAUUGGAGUGAUCUUUAAACACCUGAGGAAGCUCUUAGACUCACGACUGGAGAAGAUGCCAGAGAACCCAAGGGACGAAUCUAGAAAGUCAUAUUCUACCCUUUCUCUGUCUUUCCCCUUCCUUUAAAAAAAUAAUAAUCUUGUAUCCUUUUCUCAUUUUCUAAUUUCAAAUGCUGUAUUUUGUGUGUGUGUGUGUGUGUGUGUGUGUGUUCAUGAAAUUAAAAAAUGUUCCUCUGUGUUUAGCACGGUUUAGCACUGUGUAGUGGCUCAUGGUAUUAUUUACUCUCUUUUGUCUCUCAACUGUAGAUGAGAAGACCAUCCAGUUGAUUAAAGAGCUGAUCAAGAUGUUGAACGUCUCCUGACCCCUGUGACUUGUCAUUGGAGACCUCAGCUAUGGAGAUGUCCCUGAGACAGGAUGGAUUGGACUCUUAGAAAGCCCUUUGUCAACAUAGAGAGAGUCUGGUAACAUCAAAAGGUUGGGAACGGAACCAUAUUUCAGUAAUCCAACCAGUUGAAAAUAUCUGUUGGUACUUAAAGAAUAUGAUGUCAGAUCAGUUGUCGUCUGAGAGAUUAUUACUGAUGAUAGGAUGACAUAAACUGUAUCUUGGAAAGUCUACACAUUCUAGUUAUCAGAUUCGCAUGGAAUUGUUGUGCAAUUUAAAUGUUUAAAUAUGAAACUAUUUGUGAAAAGAGUAAAUGUCAUUUUAGCUUCUAAAUGAGAUAAUGGUUUUCAUAAGUGAAUUAUGCUCACUCAGUGGCCCCGCCCAAGUGAACAGACAUUGGUUGUGAACUAUGAAACAACGCCAUUCUCUCCACCACUACAAAGCUCAUUGAUGAAAGUCAACCUUGGGUUCCCGAUGAUGUGAGGACUGCUGUCCAUAUGUUAAAAAAGGCCAAAUUUCAACGUGGAGGUGACGAUCGACAAGCUGGAAGGAUGAAUUUCGACUAUACCAGUCAGAAUAUAGAAUGAGCUUGUAGCAUAGCAAAUUGGUAUGAACUUUGAACUCUUAUUCACUAAAGAAGUGAUACAUCCUAGACGUCGAGUUAGCAGCUGUAAACGUGGGCUAGGAAAGGACAGACAAUCUCUUCAGAAAGACAGGAUACUACAACGUAUCCAUUCUACCACUCAAUGACGGUACUAGAACGUAACCGUUCUUCCACAAGACAUAUUCUUCAAAGGACAAGGGGGAUCUCUGCUGGGCAACCCAGACUUCCAUCUUCGACCAAUCUAUAUAAGCGCAGCUCAGAGUAAAUAUUUAUUGCAUUUUCCUUUUCCAAAUGGGCGGUUAUUUAGAAUGCAUAAGAUUCUGUAUUUACGAUAGCAUAGCUUCAUAAGGUUCGAUAGAAACCCAAUCCUUUUGUUCCUCAGUCUUCCCGCGCUUUCAUUCAAACCCAACCCCCUUUCUUUGUGUAACCAGCUGUCAUAUCGGUUCCGUCCGCUAAGGACGUUUUCUUGUAUGACAUAAUUAGUAAUCAAUGUAUGAUCCAUCAUGUGUAUAUGUAAUUAUGUGUGAUUAUAUACGUAUUUAGUAAAUAAAUAAUUAAACCAAA